AUGUUAUGCCAAGAACAUAUUCCAUUACCUUGGUUUGAAGUGAAUUACAAGCUCGAAGUCGUUUAUAAUUCACACUAUAAAUUUCAAGUUUAUCCAAACCAAACAUUCAUUAUAAAAUCAUUACAAUCACAUUGCACCAAUAAUCCACAAAGAAAAAACUAUUACAAAAUGAACUUGAACAAAAUUCCUUAG
This is a non-coding RNA of Vicia faba (fava bean), 192 nucleotides long. The record is from the annotation of a GenBank genome assembly. NCBI's taxonomy places the organism in Eukaryota, Viridiplantae, Streptophyta, Magnoliopsida, Fabales, Fabaceae.